AACGCACAUUGCGCCCAUUAGUAUUCUAGUGGGCAUGCCUGUUCGAGCGUCAUUUCAACCCUUAAGCCUAGCUUAGUGUUGGGAGCCUACUGCUUUUGCUAGCUGUAGCUCCUGAAAUACAACGGCGGAUCUGCGAUAUCCUCUGAGCGUAGUAAUUUUUAUCUCGCUUUUGACUGGAGUUGCAGCGUCUUUAGCCGCUAAACCCCCCAAUUUUUAAUGGUUGACCUCGGAUCAGGUAGGAAUACCCGCUGAACUUAA
Molecule: unclassified non-coding RNA, 258 nt
Filed under: uncultured fungus
Lineage: Eukaryota; Fungi
Also listed under: 1 other name
Description: partial contains 5.8S ribosomal RNA, internal transcribed spacer 2, and large subunit ribosomal RNA
Source: RNAcentral